This 253-nucleotide ribosomal RNA is filed under the name uncultured prokaryote. RNAcentral describes it as "partial 16S ribosomal RNA". It matches the Rfam family "Bacterial small subunit ribosomal RNA", at positions 524 to 776 of the family's 1533-position model. The record is from RNAcentral.
UACAGAGGGUGCGAGCGUUAAUCGGAAUUACUGGGCGUAAAGCGCGCGUAGACGGCUUCGUAAGUCGGAUGUGAAAUCCCCGGGCUCAACCUGGGAACUGCAUUCGAAACUGCAUUGCUAGAGUAUGGAAGAGGGAAGUGGAAUUUCCGGUGUAGCGGUGAAAUGCGUAGAGAUCGGGAGGAAGGCCGGUGGCGAAGGCGGCGCUCUGGAACGUUUCUGACGCUGAGGCUCGAAAGCGUGGGGAGCAAACAGG